Molecule: long non-coding RNA, 3530 nt
Organism: Felis catus (domestic cat)
Lineage: Eukaryota; Metazoa; Chordata; Mammalia; Carnivora; Felidae
Exons: 12
Source: RefSeq, a predicted model, not a curated record
ACAGGGUUGAGGGUUCCUGCCUCUGGCCCCUACCUGAGAGAAGCCCUCCCUCUUCUACUCACACUUUCCACGCCUCUCACACCCCCCUUCCUCCCACCUCAGACUUCGGAAGAAUGCAUCAAUCGGUAGUCUGCUUUCGUAGAAAACGGACAACGUAUAGCUAUUGUUGGAAGAGGUUGUGAGACGACGUGACAGCGGAUUGAGACGAGAGGUGGACCCCUGCAAGCGGGGCGCUCCCUACCCUUUCACCCCUCCACGACCUCAGCACGUACUUACGUUCUGCCCCACCGGCCCUCAGCGAAGCAGUCCUCCAGCGCGCAGCUGCGAGUGAGUGAGCACGUGGUGCGCAGACCCUCUGGACGCAUGCGCACCGGCACCCAGUUCCUCCCUGGUGUGAGAGCCUCAGACCCUGCAGGGGGAAGGUGCGCUGUUCUGAGGCCCCUGGACAGGCAAGCCUCCUGGACAACUCUGAUUAACUGAAGCAAACAUGAAAUUUAAUGGAAGGAUACAGCUAACACACAGAGAAGGCUGAGGACCAGGCUUGGAAGAAGACAGGAACUGAGCCAGCUCUGGAGGAGCAGAAACGCUGGCAAACCAAGGAGAGGAGCUGGAAGUCCUUGGCAUUCACAGCCAUACACUAAACCAGACUAAAAAUUGGCAUAGACACAGGCCCACAUCUGGAGGAUAUUAGUCUGCCCAAAGGAAUUCAGCCUGUGAACUGGUUUUGGCUGAUGUUUUGGAGGAGUAUGCAACCUUGAGGAAUCUUGGCUGUGUCAAUACAGAUAGAAUAUCUUGAAACCAUCUAAGAGAUCCACAGGAAAUUUCCAUUGCAAAGCAGAGAGAGUCCUCUAGAGCCUGUCAGCCGAGUAGAGGAGGGGGACUGGGAUAAAGAACUCCUCCCCCUCCAUCCAUAAGUGGCACACCACUGGCCUCCUGGUGUUAUUAAAGGAAAAUUGGAAAAGUUUCCAGAAGAUUAAGCAGAAAGCUUACAACUUGCACAAGACUCUCAAUUUUCCAGUGGCUCUGACAGAAGGAUAAAUCUUCAGCUGUUUUAACUAAAAUGAGCUGGAGAAACUGAAGGAGGAUCCAGGAGAAUGUGGAACAAUUGAGGGCCCAUCUGCUACCCACAUGAAGACGGGAGGUAGAAAAUGACACAGGUUAGAAUACUGAAGCCUUGGAAUGAUUCAGUAACUUGCCUUAAACCAUCCAGCUGGUGCUGAAGAUAGAGAGCUGCCUUGUCCCAUGAUUUUCUUUCUGGAAUAGAACAGCAGCAAAAGACCAGAUCAUCUGGCCCAUGCUUCCUCAGUUCUGACAAUAGUGAUUGUCUCAGAUACCAGUGCAGUAUCAUCAUAAUCUGCCACUCUUUACUGUGGUGCCUGAGGAAGAAGCGAGGGAGUCUUAAAAACCAUCCAGCUCUCCAGAUUCAAUUGGCAGGUUAAUCGAAAACAAUUUUUUUAUAGCACAAUAAAGGACCUGGGAACAGUGGAACAUUAAUAUUUGUUUCCCAAAGAGUGGACCCUGAGAGAAUAAAGCUGAAUGCAGUUGAAUUAUGGUACCCAUAGUGUGGGGGAUGCAUUUUGCAUUGCUUCAUUUUACACUGCCAUUAAUCAGGCAGCAGAGAGCAAAGGCUGCCUCACCAACUGCUGCCAGAGCACCCCGAGAGAGAUGUCACCCCCAGUCCUGGGGAAGGGCAGUCAGCUUUCCUAAGUAUCUUAUGUGAUUACAAUAUAGUUUUCAUGAUGCAUUCUUAAUAAAACAAAAGGUGGCCCUCUGACAAAAAAUAUCAUCUGGUUUUUAUAAUGUAAAAUACAGCAAUUUUAUCAGCAUUAACACUGAUUGGCUGCCAUUAGCCCCUUGCCUUCUAAUAAAAUUUAUGAUACCUUUCAGGAGCCCAAUUUGAUAGAAAGUGAAGUGAUUGCACCCUGCUUAGAUAUCUCUCUGGCAUCUAUUCCAACAAUAAUGCGGUAAUUUUAUGCAUGAAAUAGCACAAUUGGCAUAAAUAGUUAUAAUACUGAGUGCUGUCUAAGGAAACUGGCUGGUGGAAAAUUAGAAAGCGCUUCACACUUUUGAAACAGGUAAUUAGGAUUUUUCUUCGUGCUCAUACAAGGCAGACUGGAGUUUCAUUUUAUAUUUCAUGUUUCAUUAAAAUAUAGGUGUGAAAAAUAAAUGUUGAAUUUAAAACUGCAUAUAUUAUGAAAUUAAAGGUAUAGUACAUGGUAGAGGGUGCAAAGUGUGCAAUGAGACUUUGGGAUGUUCUAUUUAGUUGCAGGGGUAGUAUGCUUUUAAAACAUUUUGGACAGGUAGUAUAGCCUUGUUUCAAGUAUGUUACUUUGGAAAGGAUUGAUUUAGAAAUACGUUGCAUUCAAUCUCCAAAUCUUUAGCCCAAGAAACAGUGUGCUGCCUUGAUUUAAACUCUAACUGAGGAUGAUCUCCUUCAUUUAAUUGGCAGGUGAGGGUAGACUUUGGGUCACGUAGGAUUGGCUGAACGGCUUUGAACUUUGCAUUGGGCUCAACAGUUCUCUGUCUAUUCCACAUUUCCAUCCUGACCUUGGCUGCUCAUUCAGACCUGAGCCAACCCCCAGUGGAACCUUUCUGAUUCUCUUGAACUGUGCUGUGAUUUUGGAAGGCGGGCAAAGGGCUGUAAUGGCACCAUUGUAUUAACCUCCACUUAUGACCCAGCCAAGGGCAGGCUUUUAAGUUUUCCCAGCUGUGUCAUUAAAUUUGUUGCUCUGGCCCCACUGACAUGACACCAUCACAAUCCCAGCCACAGACUAAUGACUGCAUUUGUGAGGGCAGCAUGUUAUAGAAGAGAGUACACAGGGCUAAGAGUUGAGAAAACUGGGCUUCUUUCUUGUUUUCCCAUAACUACUCAUGUGGAAUUAGGAAGGACAUUGAACUUUUAUAUGCCUCAGUUUCCUCAUCUGUGAAAUGGGAAUUGUACCCUCAUCAUGUUUCUUAGAAGCUUGUUGUGAGAAUACAGAUUGCAAAACUUGUUGAAAAGGAGCUAAAGCCAAAUACAACAUUCCACAUAUAUGCCAUGUCUUGCUAUAUUCUAAUGAAAAAGCGCAUGCAAAAUGAAAAUGGUAUUGCUCUUGUAUAAUACAAAGUAUUUUUUCUUAGAGUGUUUGGAGAUAUGAAAGGAAGCUGUGUCUGUGAUUUAGAAGGAUAUUAAAAAAUGCUCUUAUAAUUUAAGAUGCAUAAGAAACAUACCAUAGAAAGAGCAACAGCAUUUAUUGUACCUAAGUAAAAUUGCAAGGUUCCUGGCGGUUACUCUAGUUUUCAAUAGAAAAUCAUAAAAUAAGGAAUAAAUUCAGCAUUGCUAAUAAUCUCACUGUAAAUUCUGUUCAUUACUCCUAUCAUAUCUUCUAGUGAUUGCAAUGUAAAGUUGUGGCCUGCUAAUGUAAUAAUAUAUUCACAUUCUCAAGCAAUUCUAAAAAAAAAAUAUCUAGUCCACCAGAACAGUGAUCAUGCAAAAGAAAUUGGGAACAAAUGCUAUUUUCAUUAACCUUUACCAGUGACACUAAGUUCUA